RNAcentral lists this transfer RNA (74 nucleotides) under Tursiops truncatus (common bottlenose dolphin). RNAcentral's name for it is "tRNA-Arg (TCT) (tRNA-Arg-TCT-20-1)". It matches the Rfam family "tRNA". Rfam says of the family: Transfer RNA (tRNA) molecules are approximately 80 nucleotides in length. Their secondary structure includes four short double-helical elements and three loops (D, anti-codon, and T loops). Lineage: Eukaryota; Metazoa; Chordata; Mammalia; Artiodactyla; Delphinidae. The record is from Rfam by way of RNAcentral. RNAcentral also lists the same sequence under 1 other name.
UCCCUGAUAGUCCAGUGGUUAGGACUCUGCACUUCUACUGCCAGGGGGCCCAGGUUCAAUCCCUGGUGGGGGAA